AUUGAACGCUGGCGUCAUGCCUUACACAUGCAAGUCGAACGGCAGCACGGGUGCUUGCACCUGGUGGCGAGUGGCGAACGGGUGAGUAAUACAUCGGAACGUACCUUAUCGUGGGGGAUAACGCAGCGAAAGCUGUGCUAAUACCGCAUACGCCCUGAGGGGGAAAGCGGGGGAUCGAAAGACCUCGCGCGAUUAGAGCGGCCGAUGCCUGAUUAGCUUGUUGGUGGGGUAAAAGCCCACCAAGGCGACGAUCAGUAGCUGGUCUGAGAGGACGAUCAGCCACACUGGGACUGAGACACGGCCCAGACUCCUACGGGAGGCAGCAGUGGGGAAUUUUGGACAAUGGGGGCAACCCUGAUCCAGCAAUGCAGCGUGAGUGAAGAAGGCCUUCGGGUUGUAAAGCUCUUUUGUCAGGGAAGAAACACCGGCUCUAACACAGUCCGGGAAUGACGGUACCUGAAGAAUAAGCACCGGCUAACUACGUGCCAGCCGCCGCCGUAA
RNAcentral lists this ribosomal RNA (501 nucleotides) under uncultured bacterium. RNAcentral's name for it is "partial 16S ribosomal RNA". It matches the Rfam family "Bacterial small subunit ribosomal RNA", at positions 30 to 523 of the family's 1533-position model. The record is from RNAcentral.